Molecule: RNase P RNA, 402 nt
Filed under: Lasius niger
Lineage: Eukaryota; Metazoa; Arthropoda; Insecta; Hymenoptera; Formicidae
Description: Bacterial RNase P class A
Rfam family: Bacterial RNase P class A
About the family: Ribonuclease P (RNase P) is a ubiquitous endoribonuclease, found in archaea, bacteria and eukarya as well as chloroplasts and mitochondria. Its best characterised activity is the generation of mature 5'-ends of tRNAs by cleaving the 5'-leader elements of precursor-tRNAs.
Source: Rfam by way of RNAcentral
CCAGAUAGUUGAGCGACUGCUAUAAAAAGAAAUUUAUUUCGUUUUGUAGAGGAAAGUCCGGGCUCCACAGGAAUACGACGCCGGUUAACGGCCGGCAGAGGCAACUCUAGGGAUAGUGCCACAGAAAAUAGACCGUCUGUUUAUUAUUUAUACUACACAGAUAAGGGUGAAACGGUGCGGUAAGAGCGCAACGCGGCUCUGGUAACAGAGUUGGCAGGGUAAACCCCGUCGGGUGCAAGACCUAAUAGGAAAGAUAGAUCUCCGUUUUUAACGAGAGGUCGGGGGUAUUCCUGCCCCUCUUUCGGGUUGGUCGCGUGAGGGUGAUAGCAAUAUUACUCCAAGAUGAAUAGUCGCUUCGUCCUUAUGGACGGACAAAACCCGGCUUAUAGACUAUCUGGCUCU